This 203-nucleotide non-coding RNA is filed under the name Novosphingobium nitrogenifigens. RNAcentral also lists the same sequence under 1 other name. Lineage: Bacteria; Pseudomonadati; Pseudomonadota; Alphaproteobacteria; Sphingomonadales; Sphingomonadaceae. The record is from RNAcentral.
ACGGCUUGGGCUGCGACAGGUUCCCCGUGAGGGGAUCAAAAGGGAACACGGGUGCGAUACCCGGGCUGCCCCUGCAACUGUAAGCGGCGAGCCAUCCGGCCAUCAUGCCAUUGGGAUCCCCGGCACCGUUCCGGGCCCCGAGAAGGCGGUCGGACCGGCCUUGACCCGUGAGCCAGGAGACCUGCCUGACGCGGUCGUUCUUC